This 69-nucleotide ribosomal RNA is filed under the name Escherichia albertii. Lineage: Bacteria; Pseudomonadati; Pseudomonadota; Gammaproteobacteria; Enterobacterales; Enterobacteriaceae. The record is from RNAcentral.
CCUGGCGGAGAUAGCGCGGUGGUCCCACCUGACCCCAUGCCGAACUCAGAAGUGAAACGCCGUAGCGCC